UACGGGGGGAGCAAGCGUUGUUCGGAUUUACUGGGCGUAAAGGGCGCGUAGGCGGUCGUGACAAGUCACUUGUGAAAUCUCCGGGCUUAACUCGGAACGGUCAAGUGAUACUGUCGGACUAGAGUACAGAAGGGGCAACUGGAAUUCUCGGUGUAGCGGUGAAAUGCGUAGAUAUCGAGAGGAACACCUGCGGCGAAGGCGGGUUGCUGGGCUGACACUGACGCUGAGGCGCGAAGACUAGGGGAGCGAACGGG
RNAcentral lists this ribosomal RNA (254 nucleotides) under uncultured bacterium. Its description in RNAcentral is "partial 16S ribosomal RNA". It matches the Rfam family "Bacterial small subunit ribosomal RNA", at positions 524 to 776 of the family's 1533-position model. The record is from RNAcentral.